Arthroderma uncinatum is the source of this 73-nucleotide non-coding RNA. The record is from the annotation of a RefSeq genome assembly. NCBI's taxonomy places the organism in Eukaryota, Fungi, Ascomycota, Eurotiomycetes, Onygenales, Arthrodermataceae.
GGCCGCGUGGCCUAAUGGUUAGGGCGUUGGAUUUCGGCUCCAAAGGCUGUGUGUUCGAAUCGCACCGCGGUCG